AACAAAUCAAUCUGCCUUUAGCAACUUCCCCCGGAAAUUAGUUGGCAACACUGCACUUCCAGUUUGACAAUGGCCAGGAUGUUUUAUGCGCGACAUUUCACUAGAUUAAUAACUUAAAUAUAACAGAGGCCACUUGUUAAGUCGAAACAUGCAAAUAACGAGUUCAUAGCGUAAUAUUUUCCAAACCUGCUGCUGGAGUAUCCAAAGCACUGCAUGCUAGACUCCAAAAUAGUACUUCAGAUGGCAUUUUAGACACCUUAAAAGCUCGUUUCAAACCAAAAUGGGCAACCGAAUAUCUUCUGGAAGGGUCAUUUUACGAAGCUGUUAAUAAAGGCUGGAACAUCAAUGAUUUCAGACGUAAUUUUGUCGUUAAUGAUCACGUGACCCUGAGUGGCGCGAAGCAAGGACACUGACAGACAAGACGGACAGGUUGUACUGACCGUUUGUAGAAGUAUCCUAUUGUGAUGCCACCUCCAAGUAGGAUGAUAAUGGCCAUCAUGAAGACGGCCAGAACAUAACCUGCCAAGGUAGCAAAGACAACCAAUAUACCCAUGAACUUCUCGGUUCUUGGAUGUGGUUUGGUGUUUUAGACAACUCAACACUUACCGAGAGUCCCAAGGUCUUUCUUCUUCUUGGGUCCACUCCUGACCUGCUGUCGGACUCCCUUCACGGGCUGCACCGCCGCACCCUCCACCUGCGAGGGGAAGGAGUCAGUGUUUUCGAAGGUCUCCACCAUCCUUGGGGUGAGUCCCUGAGUGGGGACCGACUCUUCUGGAGCAGUGGCUUCUGUGGAGUUUUGGUCUGUGGGGUGACAGGAUAUGAUUGUUUUUUUUCUCUCUCAAUCUGUGUGCUAAUGUGAAUCAGCUUUGCACUCCCAUCAAUUAACAAAUCAUUUAUACUAAGCAGUUUUGCUGUGGUCUGGGAGUGAGUGCUCUGAACGGAAAAUUGUUUUCUUGCGGUUGUUGAUUGGAUGGAGGCAGAUCAGAAUGUGAGCUUGCAGAUUAUAAGAAAGGUGUGAUAUAUUUACGUGGAUUAAAUGACUGGAAAAGUAAGGCAUACAUCACCAGAAGUCUGUGAAGUUUAAAUUUUGAUUUUUUUUUUUUUAAAAAUGAAACAUUUUCAUGGAUGAAUCAUUCAAAUAAUUAACAUGCAUUUAGAAAAUUGAUGGGGUGAAUUUUAACUCAUGCUGACUUCAAACAGCUAAAAAAAAAAAAAAAAUAGAUUUUUUGGUCCGAAAACAUGCUCCACCCAAGUAUGUGAAAAGAAACAGACAUUAUAAUUGCUCAUUACAUUCUGAAAUGAGUCAGAACGCAAUUCGCAAAACCCAGAAAUAAUAGUGUACUGUUAUGCUUUUCCAAAAAAAGCUUUAGCUUUUACUAGACACACUAGGCGAAUACUAGAUAAAUGAGAUAAAGUUUGGCUAUUUUGACCUAAUGAGGUGGACCUGAUAUAUUUCAGAGGCCCCAUAGAAAGAAUUCACAGCUGAGAACAUUAACAUUUACUUCUCUUGCUGGGGUCCAGGCCUUUUAAAUUUUUCAACCACCCUCUACUCUGAAAAAGCUGUUUACACACUCCAGCAGAGUUAAAGAACAUUAGUUCACAGCUCAGCUAGCCAAUCAGAAGCUGUUGCCGUGGUGUGCAUCUUUCUCACGGCCAAUCGUAAUCCCAGAGGGCGGGGCCUACACCUUCUCUUGAACAGCCGCAGAACAAGUUUCCUGUUUGUUCCUUUGUCUGUCCCAACUGAAGAAACCUCAAGGCUGAUGAGUCUAGACUCGUGUUGUUGUUCAACUUUAUCUGUCCUUGCAGCGUGUUGAGUCAAAAGAUAGUUUUGAGGAAACUGCAUCAGUGUGGAUUAAAACUGAUCAAGUAGAUUUUUUUUUUAAGUAGGAUACAUUCUGCUGUAUUGUUUUUGUUGUUAAUAAACCAAAUAAAAGUAAAUAAAAAUUAUUAAUAGCAAAAGUAAAGUUUGGUUCAGUUCCAGUUUUUAGAGUAGGCUCUGGGGAAACUGAAAUAUUUGGUGCCGACCUUUUUCACUCCCUAGAGGAUGUUUUCUUAAAGCUAUUUGCUUUUUCCCACAAAAAAAGUAGAUUGCACAUUGCACAUUUCUGCAAUGUGCAAAAACACUGCACAUUUCUGCUUUACGUAAAUAUUUUUAAAUUAGCUUCCUCCAGGUUCUUGGAAGAAACAGUGUGCAGCUAAACGAAUGAGAUGCUGGAAACAGAGUAACACGUUAGUAAGACCCAGUUGUGAAAUGCCUGAGAAAGACACGAGUUAAAUAAAUCACUUUCAUAUAUCAAAAUCCCAUUUCAUGCUGGAGUGUUCAUCUCUUUUCUUCCCCCAAAAGUGCUCGGUGAUAUUCAUUUUAUUACAAAGGUUUAAUGUGAAGAAUUUGGAAAAUUAACAUUUAUAUGCCUAUAAGCUGC
Cyprinus carpio carpio is the source of this 2423-nucleotide long non-coding RNA. NCBI's taxonomy places the organism in Eukaryota, Metazoa, Chordata, Actinopteri, Cypriniformes, Cyprinidae. The record is from Ensembl.